RNAcentral lists this ribosomal RNA (403 nucleotides) under uncultured bacterium. Its description in RNAcentral is "bacterial SSU rRNA". It matches the Rfam family "Bacterial small subunit ribosomal RNA", at positions 29 to 460 of the family's 1533-position model. The record is from RNAcentral.
AACGAACGCUGGCGGCAGGCCUAACACAUGCAAGUCGAACGCCGUAGCAAUACGGAGUGGCAGACGGGUGAGUAACACGUGGGAACGUACCCUUCGGUUCGGAAUAACUCAGGGAAACUUGAGCUAAUACCGGAUACGUCCGAGAGGAGAAAGAUUUAUCGCCGAGGGAUCGGCCCGCGUCUGAUUAGCUUGUUGGUGAGGUAACGGCUCACCAAGGCGACGAUCAGUAGCUGGCUGAGAGGGUGAUCGGCCACACUGGAACUGAGACACGGUCCAGACUCCUACGGGAGGCAGCAGUGGGGAAUUUUGCGCAAUGGGCUAACGCCUGACGCAGCAACGCCGCGUGGAGGAUGAAGGUCUUUGGAUUGUAAACUCCUGUCAGCAGGGAAAAAGGGAGGGGGAA